GCACAACAACCACUUCCACAUCAGAUGCUUCACCUGUCAAGUAUGUGGCUGUGGCCUGGCCCAGUCAGGCUUCUUCUUCAAGAACCAGGAGUACAUCUGCACCCAGGACUACCAGCAACUCUAUGGCACCCGCUGUGACAGCUGCCGGGACUUCAUCACAGGCGAAGUCAUCUCGGCCCUGGGCCGCACUUACCACCCCAAGUGCUUUGUGUGCAGCUUGUGCAGGAAGCCUUUCCCCAUUGGAGACAAGGUGACCUUCAGCGGUAAAGAAUGUGUGUGCCAAACGUGCUCCCAGUCCAUGGCCAGCAGUAAGCCCAUCAAGAUUCGUGGACCAAGCCGUGAGUCCUCCCCACGGGUAUCUCCCUGUCCAUGGGUGUGAUCUCUCUGGGCUCCCCUUUCCCACACUGCCAACUGCUCCCACGGGCCUGGAGGGAAGUGGGAAAGGUUCCCAACCUGGAGGCCUCCUGCAUCAUGACCCCGUUGGCAUGUGGCCCAGACUCACAAGCUUCACAAGCACAAUGCAGGGAAG
This 529-nucleotide small RNA is filed under the name Pan troglodytes (chimpanzee). RNAcentral's name for it is "retained intron". The record is from RNAcentral. Lineage: Eukaryota; Metazoa; Chordata; Mammalia; Primates; Hominidae.